AACUGAAGAGUUUGAUCAUGGCUCAGAUUGAACGCUGGCGGCAGGCCUAACACAUGCAAGUCGAGCGGUAACAGAUCUAGCUUGCUAGAUGCUGACGAGCGGCGGACGGGUGAGUAAUGCAUAGGAAUCUGCCCGAUAGUGGGGGAUAACCUGGGGAAACCCAGGCUAAUACCGCAUACGUCCUACGGGAGAAAGGGGGCUUCGGCUCCCGCUAUUGGAUGAGCCUAUGUCGGAUUAGCUAGUUGGUGAGGUAAAGGCUC
RNAcentral lists this ribosomal RNA (260 nucleotides) under Halomonas sp. HAL1. RNAcentral's name for it is "partial 16S ribosomal RNA". It matches the Rfam family "Bacterial small subunit ribosomal RNA", at positions 1 to 266 of the family's 1533-position model. Lineage: Bacteria; Pseudomonadati; Pseudomonadota; Gammaproteobacteria; Oceanospirillales; Halomonadaceae. The record is from RNAcentral.